AAGCCACAGAGAUUCGAACUCCGACCCUGGUUUACGAGACCAGUGCUCUACCUCUGAGCUAUGUGGCG
RNAcentral lists this transfer RNA (68 nucleotides) under Araneus ventricosus. Its description in RNAcentral is "tRNA-Thr". Lineage: Eukaryota; Metazoa; Arthropoda; Arachnida; Araneae; Araneidae. The record is from RNAcentral.